RNAcentral lists this ribosomal RNA (482 nucleotides) under uncultured bacterium. Its description in RNAcentral is "bacterial SSU rRNA". It matches the Rfam family "Bacterial small subunit ribosomal RNA", at positions 30 to 507 of the family's 1533-position model. The record is from RNAcentral.
AUUGAACGCUGGCGGAAUGCUUUACACAUGCAAGUCGAACGGUAGAGGGGGCAACCCCUCGAGAGUGGCGAACGGGUGAGUAAUAUAUCGGAACGUGCCCAGUCGUGGGGGAUAACGUAGCGAAAGUUACGCUAAUACCGCAUACGAUCUAAGGAUGAAAGCGGGGGACUCGCAAGAGCCUCGCGCGAUUGGAGCGGCCGAUAUCAGAUUAGGUAGUUGGUGGGGUAAAGGCUCACCAAGCCAACGAUCUGUAGCUGGUCUGAGAGGACGACCAGCCACACUGGAACUGAGACACGGCCCAGACUCCUACGGGAGGCAGCAGUGGGGAAUUUUGGACAAUGGGCGCAAGCCUGAUCCAGCCAUGCCGCGUGCAGGAUGAAGGCCUUCGGGUUGUAAACUGCUUUUGUACGGAACGAAAAGGUUUGGCCUAAUAAGCUGAGCUCAUGACGGUACCGUAAGAAUAAGCACCGGCUAACUACGUG